This 405-nucleotide ribosomal RNA is filed under the name uncultured bacterium. RNAcentral's name for it is "partial 16S ribosomal RNA". It matches the Rfam family "Bacterial small subunit ribosomal RNA", at positions 30 to 526 of the family's 1533-position model. The record is from RNAcentral.
AUUGAACGCUGGCGGCAGGCCUAACACAUGCAAGUCGAACGAGUGGCGGACGGGUGAGUAAUGUCUGGGAAACUGCCUGAUGGAGGGGGAUAACUACUGGAAACGGUAGCUAAUACCGCAUACCAUCAGAUGUGCCCAGAUGGGAUUAGCUAGUGGGUGGGGUAACGGCUCACCAAGGCGACGAUCCCUAGCUGGUCUGAGAGGAUGACCGGCAAACCUGAAACGGAGACACGUUCCAGACUCCUAGGGGGGGCGGCAGUGGGGAUUAUUGAACAAGGGGCGCAAGCCUGAUGCAGCCAUGCCGGGUGUAUGAAGAAGGCCUUCGGGUUGAAAAGUACUUUCAGCGGGGAGGCGUUACCCGCAGAAGAAGCACCGGCUAACUCCGUGCCAGCAGCCGCGUAAUAC